UGCUUACCAAUGAUGGCAUAAUAAAUGUCUGAACAAAUGAUAUCAGUGUGAUAUUAAGAUUUGACUGAGGUAAGCU
Molecule: small nucleolar RNA, 76 nt
Organism: Scleropages formosus (Asian bonytongue)
Lineage: Eukaryota; Metazoa; Chordata; Actinopteri; Osteoglossiformes; Osteoglossidae
Gene: SNORD72
Product: small nucleolar RNA SNORD72
Source: Ensembl